GACGAACGCUGGCGGCGUGCCUAAUACAUGCAAGUCGAGCGGACAGAAGGGAGCUUGCUCCCGGAUGUUAGCGGCGGACGGGUGAGUAACACGUGGGUAACCUGCCUGUAAGACUGGGAUAACUCCGGGAAACCGGAGCUAAUACCGGAUAGUUCCUUGAACCGCAUGGUUCAAGGAUGAAAGACGGUUUCGGCUGUCACUUACAGAUGGACCCGCGGCGCAUUAGCUAGUUGGUGGGGUAAUGGCUCACCAAGGCGACGAUGCGUAGCCGACCUGAGAGGGUGAUCGGCCACACUGGGACUGAGACACGGCCCAGACUCCUACGGGAGGCAGCAGUAGGGAAUCUUCCGCAAUGGACGAAAGUCUGACGGAGCAACGCCGCGUGAGUGAUGAAGGUUUUCGGAUCGUAAAGCUCUGUUGUUAGGGAAGAACAAGUGCGAGAGUAACUGCUCGCACCUUGACGGUACCUAACCAGAAAGCCACGGCUAACUACGUGCCAGCAGCCGCGGUAAUACGUAGGUGGCAAGCGUUGUCCGGAAUUAUUGGGCGUAAAGGGCUCGCAGGCGGUUUUUUAAGUCUGAUGGAAAGCCCCCGGCUCAACCGGGGAGGAACCGGGGAGGGUCAUUGGAAACUGGGAAACUUGAGUGCAGAAGAGGAGAGUGGAAUUCCACGUGUAGCGGUGAUAUGCGUAGAGAUGUGGAGGAACACCAGUGGCGAAGGCGACUCUCUGGUCUGUAACUGACGCUGAGGAGCGAAAGCGUGGGGAGCGAACAGGAUUAGAUACCCUGGUAGUCCACGCCGUAAACGAUGAGUGCUAAGUGUUAGGGGGUUUCCGCCCCUUAGUGCUGCAGCUAACGCAUUAAGCACUCCGCCUGGGGAGUACGGUCGCAAGACUGAAACUCAAAGGAAUUGACGGGGGCCCGCACAAGCGGUGGAGCAUGUGGUUUAAUUCGAAGCAACGCGAAGAACCUUACCAGGUCUUGACAUCCUCUGACAACCCUAGAGAUAGGGCUUUCCCUUCGGGGACAGAGUGACAAGUGGUGCAUGGUUGUCGUCAGCUCGUGUCGUGAGAUGUUGGGUUAAGUCCCGCAACGAGCGCAACCCUUGAUCUUAGUUGCCAGCAUUCAGUUGGGCACUCUAAGGUGACUGCCGGUGACAAACCGGAGGAAGGUGGGGAUGACGUCAAAUCAUCAUGCCCCUUAUGACCUGGGCUACACACGUGCUACAAUGGACAGAACAAAGGGCUGCAAGACCGCAAGGUUUAGCCAAUCCCAUAAAUCUGUUCUCAGUUCGGAUCGCAGUCUGCAACUCGACUGCGUGAAGCUGGAAUCGCUAGUAAUCGCGGAUCAGCAUGCCGCGGUGAAUACGUUCCCGGGCCUUGUACACACCGCCCGUCACACCACGAGAGUUUGCAACACCCGAAGUCGGUGAGGUAACCUUUAUGGAGCCAGCCGCCGAAGGUGGGGCAGAUGAUUGGGGUGA
RNAcentral lists this ribosomal RNA (1482 nucleotides) under Bacillus sp. (in: firmicutes). Its description in RNAcentral is "bacterial SSU rRNA". It matches the Rfam family "Bacterial small subunit ribosomal RNA". Lineage: Bacteria; Bacillati; Bacillota; Bacilli; Caryophanales; Bacillaceae. The record is from RNAcentral.